Molecule: long non-coding RNA, 1455 nt
Filed under: Lathyrus oleraceus (garden pea)
Lineage: Eukaryota; Viridiplantae; Streptophyta; Magnoliopsida; Fabales; Fabaceae
Description: Pisum sativum (pea) long non-coding RNA (PSAT_LNC030619)
Source: RNAcentral
UCAAUUUAACCAAAUGUAUUAUUACUAUAGCAGAAUUUUAACCAAAUAUAUUAUUACCAUAGCAGAAUUUUUAACCAAAUGAAUUAAAUUCAUAGCAGAAUUUUUAACCAAAUGAAUUAAAUUCAUAGCAGAAUUUUUAACCAAAUGUAUUAAAUUCAUAGCAGAAUUUUUAUCAAAUAUUCAACUUUUAUCAAAGAGUAAACAAGACGGAUGCGGUGAGUUGAACAGAAAUUUCAGAAUUUUGUCAAAAUAUUCAACAUUUAACUACACAACAUAUUAUCUAAACAAAACCAAACCGAUGCACAAAACUGUAGCUUAUGCAGAAUCACAACUCUUAAUCAUAAAUUUAACCAAAACAGGUUCUGUUACGAAAGGCCGGAAUAUUAACGAGAAGUUAACAAGUCGAUACGGCAAAUCCCAAUGCACAACAAUGGCAAGUAUAAUGCAAACAAAACCAAAGGAUUUAAAGAUUACCAAAUUCUUGGAGGUGGUUGUUGCAAUGUUAACAACGCAGUAUACAUAUCACACAAAGUCUAUCCAUAAUAUCAACAUAUUCCAACAUAAAAUGAUUCAAAUAGAAAACAUCUCAAAAAUGUGAUGAGUUCUUGAACAAAGGAGUUACCAAAUAACAGAACCGUUGUUGUUGCAUUCUUGGCUUGCGAGCGAUGUUGCUUCUACACCGAGUUACUGCAUCCUUAGCAGACCGCAUCAACUGCUAAUACCAACCCCUUUCAACAUCCUCAAACCAUUGCGGUUCCGGCGUUGCUUCGUAUUGCUUCUUUCGCGUUCGACAGAAUAACCAUACUCCAACCUGCGCAAAAGCGGACAACAACCACACAAAGUAUCACAACAAUUUGAAAUAGCCAAACAGAUCUGAGUAGGAAGGGUGUCUUCAGUUCAUCAUUGCAUCAUUGUGCAGAAAUUGCAGCGAAGUGAGGCAAAAAACAGAGGAUUGUUGGUGUCGAAGGUGAUGCAAGCUGGAACCGACGACGAUUGUUGGGGUUGUUGGUGUCGAGUGUGGAGAUUAGAGCGGGCGGAAUCUGGAAAUGAAGAAGUGGAGGCGGGGGUUGGUGUUUCCGGCGCUUGAUUUAACGGUGAGCGGCGGAGGAGGACAGAAGAUUGGGUUUUGGACGGUUAUUUGAAGGGUAACGGCGGGUUUAUGGUGGUUUACGGUUGCGGAUGAUGGCGAUUUAUGAUGAAUCGCGGCGGAGAGGGUUUGAUGGUUGUUUGAUGGUGGAGACGGAGAGAGAUUUGGUGGUGGAAGUGAAACGGAAGGGGUUCCGCUGAUGGUUACGGCGGUGAUGAUGAAGAAGAUGAGGGUGUGCGGGUUUGAGCGGCGGAGGGUUUUUUGGAUGGGUCGGAAAUGGUUGAAGCAGUUUUUGGAAUUUUUCUUUCUUCCCUAUUUUUUUCCAAUUGCAGAGAGAGAGUGUUAUGAAUGUGUGUACAGUGGAGCGG